AGCGAACGCUGGCGGCAGGCCUAACACAUGCAAGUCGAACGAACCUUUCGGGGUUAGUGGCGGACGGGUGAGUAACACGUGGGAACGUGCCUUUAGGUUCGGAAUAACUCAGGGAAACGUGUGCUAAUACCGAAUGUGCCCGUCAGAGGAAAGAUUUAUCGCCUUUAGAUCGGCCCGCGUCUGAUUAGCUAGUUGGUUGAGGUAAUGGCUCACCAAGGCGACGAUCAGUAGCUGGUCUGAGAGGAUGAUCAGCCACAUUGGGACUGAGACACGGCCCAAACUCCUACGGGAAGCAGCAGUGGGGAAUAUUGCGCAAUGGGCGAAAGCCUGACGCAGCCAUGCCGCGUGAAUGAUGAAGGCCUUAGGAUUGUAAAAUUCUUUCACCGGGGACGAUAAUGACGGUACCUGGAGAAGAAGCCCCGGCUAACUCCGUG
RNAcentral lists this ribosomal RNA (434 nucleotides) under uncultured bacterium. RNAcentral's name for it is "partial 16S ribosomal RNA". It matches the Rfam family "Bacterial small subunit ribosomal RNA", at positions 29 to 507 of the family's 1533-position model. The record is from RNAcentral.